CAGCCGCCGCGGUGAUACGGAGGGAGCUAGCGUUGUUCGGAAUCACUGGGCGUAAAGCGCACGUAGGCGGCUAUUCAAGUCAGGGGCGAAAGCCCGGGGCUCAACCCCGGAACUGACUUUGAAACUAGAUAGCUUGAAUCUUGGAGAGGCGAGUGGAAUUCCGAGUGUAGAGGUGAAAUUCGUAGAUAUUCGGAAGAACACCAGUGGCGAAGGCGACUCGCUGGACAAGUAUUGACGCUGAGGUGCGAAAGCGUGGGGAGCAAACAGGAUUAGAUACCCGGGUAGUCCCUGUCUCUUAUAC
Molecule: ribosomal RNA, 301 nt
Filed under: uncultured bacterium
Lineage: Bacteria
Description: partial 16S ribosomal RNA
Rfam family: Bacterial small subunit ribosomal RNA
Source: RNAcentral